Long non-coding RNA from Myotis davidii, 1447 nucleotides. RefSeq lists it as uncharacterized. The record is from RefSeq and is a predicted model, not a curated record. The transcript has 3 exons. NCBI's taxonomy places the organism in Eukaryota, Metazoa, Chordata, Mammalia, Chiroptera, Vespertilionidae.
UUGGCAGAGCAGCUACGGCCAGCCCAGCAGAAAGCAGCGGGCACCCGGGAGUGUCCCCAUCGAGCUGCGGCCUGGGAGGAAGGGGGUUGGAGACCCGUGACCCGAAUCUGGACAAGCGGCCACCGGUACGGGUGGCAUCCGGAGCAGUCCCGCCCUGGGCCGGGCUGCCCUCAACCAGCCUCUGGGGCAAGACCAGGAAGUCAGCAGUCUGCCAGGAUCAUCUCUACCUUCAGGAUGCCAACAAAGUUUGGGCUCCCAUCUGACUCUUUGCUGCUGCUCAACCCCGCAGGACAUGUUUGUGUUUCCACUGAAAUGUGAGAACUGUGCACACAUAUGAAUCUACCAUCCCCUCCUGCAGGCCUUCAGGCGGGCCCUCACAAAUACGCAACCCUUCCCCCCCAAAUCCAGGGCUGAAAACCAAUUGUGGAGAAGAGUGGCCAUAAACUAGGAUCACUGUUCAACAUGCUUUUGUGAUGACAGACACAUUCUGUAUCUACACUAAUGUAAUAGUCACCAACCACGGUUACCGAGAACUUGAUGUGAUUAGUGUAACCAAAUUUUAAAAGCCACAUGUGGCGAGUUAGUGGCAACUAUUUUGUAUAGUGCAGAUCCUAGAAAAAAUAGUGUGGGAAGUAAAAUACUGAAGAAUAUACUGAGAAGUUAGAAGAAUUGAACUUAAUAAAAUUGGCUGUUCUAUUUACUAAUUAUUUAUUUUCUUCCCACUUCUUUUAUAGCAACUUCUCAAUUUCUGCAGGCUCCUCCCUAAGUACCCAAAAGUUAAAUGUUGGUGUUGAUCAGGAUUCCAUCCUAGGGGAUUCUAUCCUUUUCCCAUUCUACCUGCUCUCCCUAGAAAAUUCUUGCUUCAAUUAUAAUUUAUAUGCUAGAUCAUGUUUUCCAACCUAACCUUCCAAGCACUGGAUUUAACUAUCCAAAUGCUUACUUGGCGUCACCAAUUAAUGUCCUGCAGGUACCAGAACACAUCCUCUCCUUACAUCCAAACUAAAAGAACCUGGUCCUGCUGCCAACUUCCAUACAUCCAGAUGUUUAUGCCGUAAUUUUGGGAGUAACCUUGAUUCUCUAACUCAGCUUUUCCAAUCAGUCAUGAAGUCUCACUAAUACCUCUUUCUAAGGCUCCCUUCAAUGUCUUUCUUUUCAUCCCCAAUGCUACAAUCCCAAUCAAAGCCAUGGUUACCUCUUGCCUAGAUUACUCCAUCAGGCUCUCCACCUGACUGCUUGAUCUCUAGUUUUGAUUCCCUUCAACUCAUUCUUCUCAAACUUAAAAAAAAAAAAAAGGACAUAUCAAAGGAUCUUAAGAGUAAAGAUGAAAAUUAAUCAAGUUGUGCAAAGGACUAAUUAUGUUACCUUCCCUGAUAAAUUUUCUUCAGCCAAUUAAAUAGUUCCAACUUGAAAGGUCUCCUUACCCUUAUAGCUUUUGUUCUUAUGAACA